RNAcentral lists this ribosomal RNA (498 nucleotides) under uncultured bacterium. Its description in RNAcentral is "partial 16S ribosomal RNA". It matches the Rfam family "Bacterial small subunit ribosomal RNA", at positions 29 to 507 of the family's 1533-position model. The record is from RNAcentral.
AGCGAACGCUGGCGGCGUGCCUAACACAUGCAAGUCGAACGUGAAAAGGGAAACCUGAGUAAAGUGGCGUACGGGUGAGUAACGCGUAGGUAAUCUACCCCAGAAUCUGGAAUAACCUGCCGAAAGGCGGGCUAAUACUGGAUAGAGCGAGGGAACUCGUAAGAGAGUUUUUCGGGAAAGGGAGCCCGCAAGGGCCUUCGUUCUGGGAUGAGCCUGCGUCUCAUUAGCUAGUUGGUAAGGUAACGGCUUACCAAGGCGAUGAUGAGUAGCUGGUCUGAGAGGAUGAUCAGCCACACUGGAACUGAAACAUGGUCCAGACUCCUACGGGAGGCAGCAGUGGGGAAUCUUGCGCAAUAGACGAAAGUCUGACGCAGCCACGCCGCGUGAGUGAAGAAGGCCUUCGGGUUGUAAAGCUCUGUCGGAUGGGACGAACAUCUUCAUAGUGAAUAGCUAUGAGGACUGACGGUACCAUCAAAGGAAGCACCGGCUAACUCCGUG